Molecule: long non-coding RNA, 4835 nt
Filed under: Capsicum annuum
Lineage: Eukaryota; Viridiplantae; Streptophyta; Magnoliopsida; Solanales; Solanaceae
Description: long non-coding RNA (CANN_LNC019235)
Source: RNAcentral
CCUACAUAACAACUAGGGAGUUUGUUUUGCUAUUCCCAAAUGAAAUAUGAUUUUCCUUAUUAGAAAAGAAGUUUGUUUUUCUUAUGCAAUCUUCACUCCUGUUGCUUGACUUUAGCUGUGUCUGUUUACAUGGUGCCUAGUUGAGGCCUCCUCCUUAUUAACUCCUCUUAUGACCAAGAAAUCAUCAAGGAUCAAUGCUGCAUGGUUCAAAGCUCGGUGAACAAUAGGCUCGCCUCUCUACCCUUCUUGACUUAAAUACCAGGCUUUUGUCUAUUGAAGGGCUUGAACUCAUGAACUGCGCUUAACCCACACAUCACCUGCUUCUCUCUUACCACUAAACCAAAGCCCUGUGAUACCACACGGUAUCUACAAGCACAAAACAGUCCACACACAAACAAUAACAACCCUCAUUCACCCGCAACAACAAGACACAAGCGGUACAAGAAACAAACACUAACUUAAAGCGAUAAAGAAGAUAGUUAACUUGACACAAGGAGAACACGUAAUGUAGCAACUAAAGAGUAUAUUAAACUCUAAAACCUCUACACAACACGUUAACAAGCACCAAGUCCUUACGGUGACCGUCAAGGGAAUCAACUCACCUCAAGAUCCACCGUUUCCAAGCAACAAACAAUAUUGGCUUUUCCAAGCCCUAAACUACAAUGGUUAAUCCAAGCCCUAAACUACAAUGGCUAAUCCAAACCCUAACUAAGAACUAUACUAAGGUGGUCUACUCUCAAGAGAGAGGAUUUUCAAUGUCUCAUAUUUUCAUCAUUAAACAACUAAUUAAACAACUAAUGAGAGAAGACCUAAAAAGUCCUACUUAUAGUAUAUUACAAAAGAAGACAAAAAGACCACUUUGCCCUUAAUGAGAGGGGCUGCCAUGGUGUGUAAAUACACCAUAUGCAAUGUCCAAAAUACCCUUAAUGAAGGGGCAGCCAAGGUGUGUUGAACUUGAAUGAAUGGCACCUCUUCAAUGCUCUCAAAAUCGAGGAUGGUUUAUACUUCAAGGCUUGUGGUUCUCGGGUUAACAACAAUGUAAGCAUCCAAGCAACCUUCCACACGGGGGUUGCUUUAAGUCAUGCUCAAAACGGGCCUUCCUUGCAUAUCCUUGUGCUCUCGGGGUGACCAAGUCUUGAGCCUUUAGGUGUUGGCCUCCAAAGAUGUCAUCAAAAGCUAUAACCAUGGCUUGUAUCAACCAUUAAGUGAUUGACUUGUAUCAUCCUCCCCUCCUUGAAAAGGAUUCGACCUCGAAUCCAUACCUUGCAAAACAAGAGUAAGGACAAACAAGCACAACUUACUUAUGGCAUGAGAGUUAGAGUUAGCACAAUAAUAAACAUCAUCAUGCCAAGGCGGAACAUACUUGAAAUAUAACCAUGAAUCCGUUGUGUUAGUCAUGAAAAGCUUAGCAAAAACAUCACAAAGGGCAUGGGUAUGACCAGUAGAUAAAGAAACUACAAAGGACUCAAUAGUAUCCCGAAGUCCCAAAGGUAAGGCUACCCGUAACUUAGGGACCAUAAAGCACAAUUGUUUCCUUACCCCUUCAAGUGACCUCAUCAAAUGUGGUGCCACUAUUGGUCUUAAAGUCCACCAAACACACAUGACAUAGUCAUUAGAACAAGUCAACCAACCAACAAGUUUCGUACCUCUACGUAAUACAAAUCCAAAACUAACAUGGAUGUCAUCAUAGGCAAAGAGUUAGUAUAGGAAAGAACCAAGUGUAAAGGUAUACACGGGUGAAGAUAAAUCAUUUAAGCACAUACACAUUCUUUCCUUCAAGCAAAUAGGCAACUUGGCAUCCUCAAGUUGGUAUUUAUGCAAUGUAAGCACAAGUAUGUCAAGCAAGGAUGCAAAUUUAGAAACAUUACCCAAGGAGUCAAUGACACCUUUGCCCUCGGGUUUUCAAGAAGGACUACACAUUCCUUACCCUUAAGCGUGCUCUCAUCUUUCAAAAAGAGAUUUCCAUCUUUAGGAGGAAUGUUGUCACACCACAGUGGAUUAGCAUAUCGUCUAUAGACUUCAAGGCAAUCUAUACCAUUAUUUUCUCCACUAGGUUCCUUAGGAGUAUGUAUAUCAUCUUCAAACAAGACAUUAUACCUAAAGAGAGAAUGAUCUAUCCCACGGGCAGAUUUGAAACUAGCAAAUUCCUCACUCUCUAAAAGAUCAAUAUCAAGUUUUAAAGAGGUUUCAAGCAUAAGAUUGUCCCAAGAAUGGCUCUCGGGUUCACUCCCAUUUUGUUGACCAAUAUUUUCAAGUAUUUCACUCACUUGAGUUCUAUUAAUCACAUCACACACAUACUCAAGUCGUGGACAAGUUUCACAAAUAAGUUGGUCAACACAAUUUUCACACGACGAUGUACUUUCAUUCAACGCAAUAGCUUCAACACUAGGUGGACACACGUUAAUCUUACAAGAAGAGUCAACUCGGGCAUCUAUAGGAUCAACUAGUGUAUCCACUCGCACAAUAUGUACAUCAUCCACAAAUGGCAAAGAAUCAAUAUACUCACAUGUUCGUCUUUACCUCGGUGUGAAAGUUCGUCACAAGCUUGGGCAGCAACAUCCUUCGGGAAGCUCUCAUCGCAAGUUGUUUGGACAAUUGGAUUUUGAGGGAAGAGUUUGGGUAACAAUUGGCGUAUAAUUUCAAUGUGCCGUUGCAUAUCUUCAAGAUCGUCGUUGAUGCGAUCACACAUGGCCUUGAAAUUAUGGGCAACCAUGGUACCUAACAAAAAAAAAGGACAACAACAAACAAAAGAAAACAAACAAGAUUAGUAGUAAAAGCUCCUCACCAACACUCGUAUACACUCACCUUUGUGAUUCUCAUAAUUGGAGCGACAAAUAUUGAAAGUUGCUUAUACUCCGAUAGUCAAUAAGAUGUCAAUCCUACUUGGCGGCCAGAAUGGAUUCUUGUUUUGAUUGACUUAAGACACAAAACAAAAUUCACUUACGAACUUGAAACAAAGAAGUUACUCCGAGUUACAAACGAGAAAAGCACACAAAUAACGAAGACACGAAAGAAACAUAUUCAAAAACUAAUUUACAACUUAGUAGGUAUUUACUAGUUGCCAAUUAGUAUAAGAAUAAAAAAAAUGGAACUAAGAAUCAACAACAAGAAACUAAGAAUCCAAGAUUUUGAGCCCCAAGUUCCGGUAUUGUACAAAAAUUGGUGAUAUGGCGGUUUAGGAUUGGUUGAGGUUUUUGAAAGGUUCUUAUUUUUCCAACUUUGAAAUUUUGGUUCAAUUUUCAAUUCUUGAAGAAGUGUAUUUCGGCGUUGGAGAAGAAAAUUAUCAAGAUUGGAGCCCUUUCUCACAUUCAAAAAGGUUUGACUUGUCUUACACCUUUUGGGCAAGACACCUUUUUGAAGGGUUGGUGGCCCUUUCCUCUUUUGGACACCUAGAAAAGUGUUCUUUCUCUUUUUUGGUACAAAGUCUUUUGUAGAUCUUUUUGUCCCCCUUCCCUUUUGGUAGGUCUUUGGGAUUUGUUUUCAAGACUAACAAAGGCCUCAAUUCUUUCUACUUGGCUUUUGGAUCAAGCAGCACUAUUGAAGAGCUUUUUUGCAACUAGACAUGAAGAUAGUCUAGAACAACAAGAACUUUCAAUAGAAGUUUGAAAACCUAGCCUCACUUUGAACCUCCAAUAAUCAACAACACCUUUUUCAAGCUUAAAAAUCACAACAAAAUACCAACAACAUGAGCUCAAACCACACCUUCGAGUUUCGGUCCACACAAUAACACUAGCAAUGUUCAUGCUCUUGAAAACGUAACAACAAUACCAACAAAAAUGUUCAAGCUCAACUUGGAUCUAGACUCAAGGGUGUUAGUGAAGACAAAACUAACACUUAGAAACAACUAAGACAAGCAAAACACACCUAGAUCUCGACACAAAUCUCGGCCAAAACAACAACAAGAACAUAAUUUCGGCCAAGAACACAAAAAAUGGACAGAUUUGGCUCUUUUUGAUUUUUCAGUUCUCUAACACUUUUUUUUUUAUUUUCAAUUUUAUGAGCCCAAGAUUGAUCUUGUGGGAACAAGAUCAAGCCUUGCUCUGAUACCAAAUGAUACCACACGGUAUCUACAAGCACAAAACAGUCCACACACAAACAAUAAUCCCCCACAUUCACCCGCAACAACAAGACACAAAUGGUACAAGAAACGAACAUUAACUUAAAGCGAUAAAGAAGAUAGUUAACUUGACACAAGGAGAACACGUAAUGUAGCAACUAAAGAGUAUAUUACUAAAACCUCUACACAACACGUUAACAAGCACCAAGUCCUUACGGUGACCGCCAAGGGAAUCAACUCACCUCAAGAUCCACCGUUUUCAAGCAACGAACAAUAUUGGCUUUUCCAAGCCCUAAACUACAAUGUUUAAUCCAAACCCUAACUAAGAACUAUACUAAGGUGGUCUACUCUCAAGAGAGGGGAUUUUCAAUGUCUCAUAUUUUCAUCAUUAAACAACUAAUGAGAGAAGACCUAAAAAGUCCUACUUAUAGUAUAUUACAAAAAAAGACAAAAAAACCACUUUGCCCUUGAUGAGAGGGGCUGCCAUGAUGUGUAAAUACACCAUGUGCAAUGUCCAAAAUACCCUUAAUGAAGGGGUGCGAUGUCCAAAAUACCUUAAUGAAGGGGCGGCCAAGGUGUAUUGGACUUGAAUGAAUGACACCUCUUCAAUGCUCUCAAAAUCGAGGAUGGUUUAUACUUCAAGGCUUCUGGUUCUCGGGUUAACAACAAUGUAAGCAUCCAAGCAACCUUCCACACGCGGGAUUGCUUUAAGUCAUGCUCAAAACGGGCCUUCCUUGCAUAUCCUUAUGCUCUCGGGGUGACCAAGUCUUGAGCCUUU